CCUACGGGUGGCUGCAGUGAGGAAUAUUGGUCAAUGGACGAGAGUCUGAACCAGCCAAGUAGCGUGAAGGAUGACUGCCCUAUGGGUUGUAAACUUCUUUUAUAUGGGAAUAAAACGUUCCACGUGUGGGAUUUUGUAUGUACCAUAUGAAUAAGGAUCGGCUAACUCCGUGCCAGCAGCCGCGGUAAUACGGAGGAUCCGAGCGUUAUCCGGAUUUAUUGGGUUUAAAGGGAGCGUAGGUGGAUUGUUAAGUCAGUUGUGAAAGUUUGCGGCUCAACCGUAACAUUGCAGUUGACACUGGCAGUCUUGAGUACAGUAGAGGUGGGCGGAAUUCGUGGUGUAGCGGUGAAAUGCUUAGAAAUCACGAAGAACUCCGAUUGCGAAGGCAGUUCACUGGACUGCAACUGACACUGAGGCUCGAAAGUGUGGGUAUCAAACAGGAUUAGAUACCCUUGUAGUC
Molecule: ribosomal RNA, 460 nt
Filed under: uncultured bacterium
Lineage: Bacteria
Description: partial 16S ribosomal RNA
Rfam family: Bacterial small subunit ribosomal RNA
Source: RNAcentral